This 306-nucleotide ribosomal RNA is filed under the name Triticum aestivum (bread wheat). Its description in RNAcentral is "partial small subunit ribosomal RNA". The record is from RNAcentral. Lineage: Eukaryota; Viridiplantae; Streptophyta; Magnoliopsida; Poales; Poaceae.
AUGACGUCUCCGCGCCAACUACGUCUUAACCUGGAUGCUCUUGAUCUCCCGACGCGGGAUCUAGGUGGACUAGAGCGGACAUUCACGGAGGAGGAAAUUCUGCAAACUAUCAAGUUCGUGCCACUAGAUAAGGCUCCGGGUCCGGAUGGAUUCACAACCAGGUUCUAUGUUUCAUGCUGGCCUAUUAUCAAAGAUGAUCUGUUCGCAGCUUUCUCGAUGUUCCACCAUGGUGAUAUGAGGGGUUUGGCUUCCAUCAACAAGGCGCUGGUUACUCUUUUGCGAAAAGGGAUGGUGCAGAGGAAUUGA